CAGAACUAAAGAUCGUGAAAGCCAGGUGGGCAAACACCUGGAAAUAGCAUAUUGGACAGAAUCCUUAAUAAGGUACAACCCCCCUUUGCCUUCAUUGCAAAAAUGUAGAACUGCGGUUAGACUCCACCAUUUUGGGGGUCUUUUCAAUUGAUCUAGACAAAGCGGUGGUAGAAACCAAGGUAAAGGAGGCAGGUGAGGUGUGAGUCUUUUCCUCUCCUAAAUUUGGUAAUUCUGAAUGUCACAAAGGUCCUUUGUUUCAGAACACUGUGUGUUCCAAGCAAUUCCUGGAAUUUUUUAAAUGGCUUCCAUUUUCCUGGAGGAGUAGCUUGUAAUGAUCUGCUUGGCUCUCUGCCUUUAACAGCCCUCUACUGGAGUCACUUAACCCCCAAUUUGUAGAUUCAGCCCUGCUCCCAACCCUGUCCUCAGGCGGAGGGAAGGUAUGUCCACCCAGCCUCUCCUGCCUGUUUUUACUGGUCACCAGCUCAUCUAUGAAGAGCAAGGAUCCCUGUUAGUCUCUGGCAGAGACGGGCAUUUACUCCUGGCUAGGAAUGAAAAACAAAAGAUGUAUUUAUUUUUAAAUGUCUGUUUGUAAAUCUAAAACAAAGGUGAAAUCUUAGAAAAAUAAGUACUCCCAAACAAUUGGCAAGUAUCA
This 652-nucleotide long non-coding RNA is filed under the name Lynx pardinus (Iberian lynx). Lineage: Eukaryota; Metazoa; Chordata; Mammalia; Carnivora; Felidae. The record is from RNAcentral.